Astatotilapia calliptera (eastern happy) is the source of this 1188-nucleotide long non-coding RNA. NCBI's taxonomy places the organism in Eukaryota, Metazoa, Chordata, Actinopteri, Cichliformes, Cichlidae. The record is from Ensembl.
AUCGGCCUGUCAAGAUCAACUUGUCUCAAAACUUUACAUAAAGUCCACAUUUUAUAAGGAAACAUGGUUUAAAAUUGUGGGGAAAAAAGCCAAAACAUGUUGUAAUAAUAACUCUACUUUCCACCAGCGCAUAAUGUAAAUGUUCAUCAUAUGAACUCAGCCAUUCCCUUUGUGUCAAGAAUUAACAAGUUAACACAUUACCUGACUUUACUAUGGUCCAACUUCAGAGACCACCCUCAGUGUGGUCACCAUAAUCAGGAUAGUUGUGGCAGUGUGGAAAGCUCUUAGGCUCAAGUGUUGAGAGUGGCAACAUUAAUCAACCAAUGUGACAAUACACUGGCUUAGCACAACAGUUCAUAUGGAUGGCGCCAUGCAGGAAGCUCAGGUUUCUUAACAAAGGUCCAGACAGUGCAGUGUAACAGGCGGGUCUUUGACUAGAGGGCAUUUUAAUUCUCACGGGUAGUAAAUUAUCUUUUUUCUUUAUUUUUCAGCACUAAAAGCAUUCCCUGUGUCUCUGAGGACAAAUCUUUGCUGUCUUUAUGAUGUUUUUCUUUUUUUAAUUUUUUUUUUAUCUGUGUCAGUUUUCUUUGGUGCCUUGAUUUCCUAAAGAGGAACUUCAGGUAGGCCUAUUAGUAUUUCCCAUAAUUGUAAUGUCCAGUAUCGAUUCUGCAAAGUUUGAUUUUCUUCUCAUCAUUUUAAGGGUUAAAGUUGCAGUUUUCACAAUAGCUUGGUUGCUUAUCAGUGCUCUUUGGUGAGAACAGGUGUCACAUUUCUAAAGAUGUGGACUUCUGAUCUGAACUGUGAUGGAUCACCUUCACAUUUUGUUUGACCUCUUUAAGCUGCCUCUGCCCUCGCUGUAGCUAACGAAGAGGCGUGAAGCCAAAGGCUCAGUGCCGCACGUGGCCCCAAUUGAUCUCCACUGAACAGGUUUGACCAAAGACUUGUUGGGAUACACAGGAAGGGAACGUUAUCACAGGUAUGCUAUUGCUAUACUGCACAAAUGUUCACUGAAACAAGAAUCAAUGAACGAAAUAAGUGUAAAAAAUCCCUGAGAUACAACCGUGGAUAUAAGAAGGUACCAGCAACAGAGCUACUACAGAAAAUCUGAGAAGAAUCUUCACUUUUAAAAUGUUGCACCCAUGAAAGAAGUUGAGUUCAAUAAAAUGCCAAAUACGUUGAAAUCUUAGC